ACGUUUUGCUACACUUUGUCGGCGCUGAACUCGCCCCUGAUAUGUUGCCGCUGCUCAACCUUGCUUCCAACGUUGUCCAGUGGUCGCUUACGGUAUUGUUGCAAAUAAAUUCCCACGUGGCCCAAAACGCAUUUUCCCUUUACAACUGUUUACAGGACACCUCAAUCUCUCAACAAGGAAAUGGGGGGUUCGCGCAUCUGUCAACAAAGAGACGGUUCCCCCACUCAGAGUCUCGACUCCCACCGUUUCCCGCGCAUCUUCUCGCCAGCAGACACCAGUCUCCUCUUCACUCCUGCAUCCAUCAGCUACGGAUCCGAUUCCUACCCUCACCCCUUCAUCCCUCAUCUGUCUUCCCCUCAACCCCUCAUUCAAUACACCUCGACCCUUACCCCUCAUCCCUCGACCCUCUUCCCCAUCCCUGCAUCCCUCAGUCCUCCCUCUGGACCCUGUUCUUAUCAUAUAAUCCCAUCUCAGCUCCAUUACAAGCAAUAAACCAACUCAAAUCUACAUCUAUAUGAAGGUGUAGUCUUUUUUUAGUGAAUAGAGAUGUGGAUGUGGGGGGCUCACACCUGAUCUGUGGCUGUCUGUGAUGGGAACUGGGACUUGGGCCAUCUAUAGUGAACUCAAGUUUAAGGACACUAUAACAUGCUGACAUUCUUAGUAUUUACUUUUUGACCUAACCGACAUGGUCUAUUAUGUACAUGAUUUGCUGAUAUAUUUUCCAAAUUAUAAUACAAUAUAGGAGACAACCAGCAAAAAAAUUAAUUUACUUAUUGGCUUACUUAAUCUAGUUUUAUAUUAAUGUAAUAUUUUGUGAUCACAUUUGAGAGAUACAGACUACGAAUAGUAUGCUUGAAUAUGUGGCAGGUUAUCUAAUGAGGAGAUGAGGAAAUGUUAUUACAUCACAAACAAAUACUGGUGUAUGUUCACUUCUUUACCUUUACCUAAGGAAGACCAUCUGUAAUAAUUAGUCAUAACCAAUGACUACUGUUUUCAAGUAAAUAUGUUUGUAUAACUCAAGUAUAUUAUAUAUAAUAUUUAUUUAUACUUCUACAUGAGUACAGUUUUUGGCCACUCCACUCACCUCAUUUGCAUCAUUCAUCUUAUUUUACUGAUCAGAUAUUUUGUCUGCUACAAUUUGCU
Molecule: long non-coding RNA, 1143 nt
Organism: Micropterus dolomieu (smallmouth bass)
Lineage: Eukaryota; Metazoa; Chordata; Actinopteri; Centrarchiformes; Centrarchidae
Exons: 3
Source: RefSeq, a predicted model, not a curated record